RNAcentral lists this unclassified non-coding RNA (429 nucleotides) under Senecio hauwai. RNAcentral describes it as "partial contains external transcribed spacer and 18S ribosomal RNA". The stretch from base 368 to 429 matches the Rfam family "Eukaryotic small subunit ribosomal RNA", at positions 1 to 62 of the family's 1831-position model. The record is from RNAcentral. Lineage: Eukaryota; Viridiplantae; Streptophyta; Magnoliopsida; Asterales; Asteraceae.
AACUUCCACCUGGCUUACCUCCNUCAGUUAUGCGUCAUGACUUGUAUCGUCUUGAGCGUAUUGUGGGUUUCCUGUGUUGCAUACCUAAUAAUGGAAUCGUUUUGGUUGAUUGAAGUCCCUUUUCAUCACGUGUUGCCUUUGCGACUCAUGAUGAACCUCGAAGCGGUCUCUAUGUUCCACCAUGUUGAUGCUAGUGUCUUGAUGUUGUGGCCCAUUGAGUGUUGCUUGGUUUCGUGGAUACAGAACAUGAUUUGGGCAUAGGGUCACAUGUGACUCUUGUUUUGUCCUUUAUYAGUGUUCUCUAUAACGACGGUUCAUGCGCGCCUAGGCUCGUACCUGCGCGAUGUUCUUUGUCGAAGAGGAAUGCUACCUGGUUGAUCCUGCCAGUAGUCAUAUGCUUGUCUCAAAGAUUAAGCCAUGCAUGUGUAA